RNAcentral lists this ribosomal RNA (460 nucleotides) under uncultured bacterium. RNAcentral's name for it is "partial 16S ribosomal RNA". It matches the Rfam family "Bacterial small subunit ribosomal RNA", at positions 338 to 795 of the family's 1533-position model. The record is from RNAcentral.
CCUACGGGUGGCAGCAGUGAGGAAUAUUGGUCAAUGGGCGCGAGCCUGAACCAGCCAAGUCGCGUGAGGGAAGACGGUCCUAUGGAUUGUAAACCUCUUUUGUCGGGGAGCAAAAGACGCCACGCGUGGCGUUCCGAGAGUACCCGAAGAAAAAGCAUCGGCUAACUCCGUGCCAGCAGCCGCGGUAAUACGGAGGAUGCGAGCGUUAUCCGGAUUUAUUGGGUUUAAAGGGAGCGUAGAUGGGUUGUUAAGUCAGUUGUGAAAGUUUGCGGCUCAACCGUAAAAUUGCAAUUGAUACUGGCAGUCUUGAGUACAGUUGAGGUAGGCGGAAUUCGUGGUGUAGCGGUGAAAUGCUUAGAUAUCACGAAGAACUCCGAUUGCGAAGGCAGCUUACUAAACUGCCACUGACAUUGAUGCUCGAAAGUGUGGGUAUCAAACAGGAUUAGAUACCCGAGUAGUC